UAGCUUGCUAAUUAAGAUCUUAGUGGCGGACGGGUUAGUAACACGUGAGAACCUACCCUUUAGACAGGAAUAGCCCAUGGAAACGUGGAUUAAUGCCUGAUAGUCUCUACGGAGUAAAUGGUGCCUUCUGGUAUCGCUAGAGGAUGGGCUCGCGGCCUAUCAGCUUGUUGGUGAGGUAAAGGCUCACCAAGGCGACGACGGGUAGCUGGUCUGAGAGGACGAUCAGCAACACUGGAACUGAGACACGGUCCAGACACCUACGGGUGGCAGCAGUCGAGAAUCAUUCACAAUGGAGGCAACUCUGAUGGUGCAACGCCGCGUGGAGGAUGACGGUCCUAGGAUUGUAAACUCCUGUCAUUGGGGAGUAAGACUUAAGCGUUAAGAGCGUUUAAGUUUGAUAGUACCCAAAGAGGAAGGGACGGCUAACUUCGUGCCAGCAGCCGCGGUAAUACGAAGGUCCCAAGCGUUGUUCGGAAUCACUGGGCGUAAAGCGUGUGUAGGCUGCGCGGAAAGUCAAAUGUGAAAGCCCGGGGCUCAACCUCGGAACUGCAUUCGAUACUCCCGUGCUAGAGUAAUGGAGAGGUAAGUGGAAUUCCUGGUGUAGCAGUGAAAUGCGUGGAUAUCAGGAGGAACAUCAAUGGCGAAGGCAACUUACUGGACAUUUACUGACGCUCAGACACGAAGGCUAGGGUAGCGAAAGGGAUUAGAUACCCCUGUAGUCCUAGCAGUAAACGGUGCUCGCUUGGUGUGGGAGGAUUCGACCCCUUCUGUGCCGGAGCUAACGCG
Molecule: ribosomal RNA, 786 nt
Filed under: Verrucomicrobia bacterium SCGC AAA164-B23
Lineage: Bacteria; Pseudomonadati; Verrucomicrobiota
Also listed under: 6 other names
Description: bacterial SSU rRNA
Rfam family: Bacterial small subunit ribosomal RNA
Source: RNAcentral